AACGAACGCUGGCGGCAUGCCUAACACAUGCCAGUCGAACGAUACCUUCGGGUCUAGUGGCGCACGGUUGCGUAACGCCUUGGAACCUUCCCUUAUGUUCUGAAUAACUCCCCGACAGGGUUCCUAUUACCGGUUAAUGUCUUCGGACCAAAGAUUUGUCGGCUUUUUAUGUGCCCGCUUUGGAUUCUCUAGUUGGUAGGGUAAAAGCCUACCAAGGCUAAGAUCCAUAGCUGGUCUGAGAGGAUGAAAAGCCACAAUGGAACUGAGACACGGCCCAGACUCCUACGGGAGGCAGCAGUGGGGAAUAUUGGAAAAUGGAGGAAAGCCUGAUGCAGCAAUGCCGCGUGAGUGAUGAAGGAAUUAGGGUAGUAAAGCUCUUUUAAACGGGAAGAAAAUGACAGUACCGGGAGAAAAAGCUCCGGCUAACUACGUG
Molecule: ribosomal RNA, 433 nt
Filed under: uncultured bacterium
Lineage: Bacteria
Description: partial 16S ribosomal RNA
Rfam family: Bacterial small subunit ribosomal RNA
Source: RNAcentral